CGAAAGCCUGACGGAGCAACGCCGCGUGAGGGAUGAAGGCCUUUGGGCUGUAAACCUCUUUUCUCAAGGAAGAAGAUCUGACGGUACUUGAGGAAUAAGCCACGGCUAAUUCCGUGCCAGCAGCCGCGGUAAUACGGGAGUGGCAAGCGUUAUCCGGAAUUAUUGGGCGUAAAGCGUCCGCAGGCGGCCGUCUAAGUCUGUUGUUAAAUCGUGGAGCUUAACUCCAUCACGGCAAUGGAAACUGUUCGGCUUGAGUGUGGUAGGGGCAGAGGGAAUUUCCGGUGUAGCGGUGAAAUGCGUAGAUAUCGGGAAGAACACCAGUGGCGAAAGCGCUCUGCUAGGCCAUUACUGACGCUCAUGGACGAAAGCCAGGGGAGCGAAAGGGAUUAGAUACCCCUGUUGUCCUGGCCGUAAACGAUGAACACUAGAUGUUGGGGGAAUCGACCCCCUCGGUGUCGUAGCUAACGCGUUAAGUGUUCCGCCUGGGGAGUACGCACGCAAGUGUGAAACUCAAAGGAAUUGACGGGGGCCCGCACAAGCGGUGGAGUAUGUGGUUUAAUUCGAUGCAACGCGAAGAACCUUACCAAGGCUUGACAUCCUGCGAAUCUCCAAGAAACUGGAGAGUGCCUUCGGGAGCGCAGUGACAGGUGGUGCAUGGCUGUCGUCAGCUCGUGUCGUGAGAUGUUGGGUUAAGUCCCGCAACGAGCGCAACCCACGUUUUUAGUUGCCAGCAUUCAGUUGGGCACUCUAGAAAGACUGCCGGUGACAAACCGGAGGAAGGUGUGGACGACGUCAAGUCAUCAUGCCCCUUACGCCUUGGGCUACACACGUACUACAAUGCUGCGGACAAAGAGUAGCGAUCUUGCAAAAGUUAGCUAAUCUCGUAAACCGUGGCUCAGUUCAGAUCGUAGGCUGCAACUCGCCUACGUGAAGUAGGAAUCGCUAGUAAUCGCAGGUCAGCAUACUGCGGUGAAUACGUUCCCGGGCCUUGUACACACCGCCCGUCACACCAUGGAAGUUGGCCAUGCCCGAAGUCGUUACUCUAACCUUUUGGAAGAGGGCGCCGAAGGCAGGGCUAAUGACUGGGGUGAAGUCGUAACAAGGUAGCCGUAGCGGAAGCUGCGGCUGGAUCACCUCCUAA
Molecule: ribosomal RNA, 1141 nt
Filed under: Candidatus Synechococcus spongiarum
Lineage: Bacteria; Bacillati; Cyanobacteriota; Cyanophyceae; Synechococcales; Synechococcaceae
Description: bacterial SSU rRNA
Rfam family: Bacterial small subunit ribosomal RNA
Source: RNAcentral